RNA transcript from Sesamum indicum (sesame), 2134 nucleotides. It is a transcript of the gene named DNA-directed RNA polymerase II protein, with no coding region annotated. The record is from RefSeq and is a predicted model, not a curated record. NCBI's taxonomy places the organism in Eukaryota, Viridiplantae, Streptophyta, Magnoliopsida, Lamiales, Pedaliaceae.
GCGAUUGUGUUGGAGACGUAUUAGAAUGAGGCUAUGAGCUACACGUCAAGUCCGGAAUUCAAAAGCUUUGCCACUCCUGAUUUCUGUACUCAGUUCAUGUUUACCAAUUUGUAUAACCUAAUUCCUAUUCCGAUUGAAGGAGUUUGAAGUUCCAUAAAAAUCCCCCAAAAGGAAUUGCAGAAAGAGGUUCAUAUUUUCGUUGGUUUUCUUUGCUCAGGUGAUGACGACGAAGAAAACUAACACUUGUGCUAUAUGCGAGAGCUCCAAUCUCGCUUCUAUUUGCCCAGUUUGCGUUAAUUUCAGAUUGAACGAGUAUAAUUGUAGUUUGAAGGUAUUGAAGAGUAAGAGGGAUGCGCUGUACUCAAAACUGACUCAAGUUCUCGUCGCUAAGGGCAAGGCUGAUGAUCAACACAGUUGGAGGGUGCUUCAAAAUGAAAAACUGGCAAGGUUGAGAGAUAAGCUCCGACUUCGUAAAGAACAAGUUGUACAAGGGAAGGCUAAGAUUGAGAAGAUGUCUCAUGAUCUAAAAGUCAAAUAUGAAAUGCUUGAAUCAGCAAUGAAUAUGUUGGAAAAGAAUCGCGUGGAACAAAUUGAGAAAUAUUAUCCUAAUCUUAUCUGCACACAGAGUUUGGGACAUAUGGCAAUUACCUCUGAACGCCUUCACAAACAAUCCGUCAUCAUAAAGCAGAUAUGCAAGUUGUUCCCCCAGCGCCGGGUGAUUGUAGAAGGGGAGAAAAAGGAUGGACACAAUGGCCCAUAUGAUACAAUCUGCUAUGCACGCUUGCCAAGAGGCUUGGAUCCCCACUCCGUUCCAUCUGAUGAGCUUGCAGCAUCUUUGGGCUACAUGGUGCAACUUCUAAAUCUUGUCAUUCACACCGUGUGUGCUCCUGCAAUUCAUAACUCUGGAUUUGCGGGUUCGUGUUCUCGGAUAUGGCAGAGGGACUCAUAUUGGGACGCCCGUCCAUCAUCUAGAAGCAGUGAGUAUCCGCUUUUUAUUCCUCGCCAAAACUUUUGCUCCACUGGUGGUGAAACUUCAUGGUCUGAGAAAAGCUCAAGCAAUUUUGGUGUUGCUUCAAUGGAGUCUGAGAGGAAGCCUCGGUUAGAUUCCUCUGGUGGUAGUUUCAAUUAUUCUUCUGCUUCUCCACAUUCAAUUGAAACACACAAGGAUUUGCAGAAAGGCAUAUCACUCCUCAAGAAAAGUGUGGCUUGCAUCACUGCGUACUGCUAUAACUCAUUAUCUUUAGAAGUUCCCCCAGAAGCCUCUACUUUUGAGGCAUUUGCAAGGUUGUUGGCUACACUUUCUUCUUCGAAGGAGAUUCGAUCUGUUUUAUCUUUGAGAAUGGUGUCAUCAAGGACAUCUAAGCCCGGCCAACAACUGAAUAGAUCUGUAUGGAAUGCAGAGUCAGCCAUUUCAUCAAGCACAUUAAUGGAUAGUGCACAUGCGUUGCCUAUAUUGAGAAAUGAAUUUGAUAGUUAUCUCCCAAGCUCUGCUGCCAGCUAUCUUUAUGCUAAUGAGUUUUUAGAUUUGGGAAAGAAUGAAAACUUAAUUGAAGGAUGGGAUAUCGUUGAACAUCCUACUUUUCCUCCUCCACCAUCACAAACUGAGGAUGUGGAGCACUGGACUCGCGCUAUGUUUAUAGAUGCAACAAAGAAAUGAGUUGAAUUUCCAUAUCCUAUUUUGCUGAGAUGUUUAAUGCUGCAAGAUAUAUGAGGAGCUUAUGGCUAGAUGAACCCUCUGCAAAUAUACGCAGCUCCUUGACAAAUUAUUAGAUAUCGUAUCUGUACAUAAAUGGUUGCGAACUAGUGGAUGACUUGAACUGAAGAAUCAAUCUUUUGCAGUAUAAGCAUGGCAGCUCGACAUCUGUUCACUGACAUCGGCUGGAAUUAGAAGAGCUUGGAAAGGUUCUGAACUGACUUGACACUCACUGCAUGUAAAUACACAAAGUUUGGCAAAGACAAUGCAAGUUGAGGUAAUUUCCAACUUAUGCAGUGGCGUCGUAUGAUAUGCCAUCUAUAUUUUUACUACUAUGACUUUCUGUACAGAAGUUCUGGGAUAGUAGAUUGAAAGAUUCAACUCUAGAUAUUUGUAUACUUCUAUUCUGAAUAAGAAAAGAAGGAAGUAAAUGAUUGUACA